AGCGAACGCUGGCGGCAAGCUUAACACAUGCAAGUCGAACGAUGUAGCAAUACAUAGUGGCGGACGGGUGCAUAACACGUGGGAAUCUGCCUUUAGGUACGGAAUAACUCAGGGAAACUUGAGCUAAUACCGUAUAAAAUCUCCGGAUCAAAGAUUUAUCGCCUAAAGAUGAGCCCGCGUCAGAUUAGCUAGUUGGUGGGGUAACGGCCUACCAAGGCGACGAUCUGUAGCUGGUCUUAGAGGAUGAUCAGCCACACUGGGACUGAGACACGGCCCAGACUCCUACGGGAGGCAGCAGUGGGGAAUAUUGGACAAUGGGGGAAACCCUGAUCCAGCUAUGCCGCGUGAGUGAUGAAGGCCUUAGGGUUGUAAAGCUCUUUUAGAUGGGAAGAUAAUGACGGUACCAUCAGAAAAAGCCCCGGCUAACUUCGUGCCAGCAGCCGCCGUAA
This 449-nucleotide ribosomal RNA is filed under the name uncultured bacterium. RNAcentral's name for it is "partial 16S ribosomal RNA". It matches the Rfam family "Bacterial small subunit ribosomal RNA", at positions 29 to 523 of the family's 1533-position model. The record is from RNAcentral.